RNAcentral lists this long non-coding RNA (1266 nucleotides) under Sus scrofa (pig). RNAcentral describes it as "lncRNA (ENSSSCG00055028601.1)". The record is from RNAcentral. Lineage: Eukaryota; Metazoa; Chordata; Mammalia; Artiodactyla; Suidae.
GAAGACAGCACAUCUUCCUUUGAAGCUGCCCGGUCUGUGGUACUUCUUUAGAGGGACCACGAGAGGCUGCGGGAUCCAGGGCUGCGAGGGAGCGGACACCGCAGAAAAGGUAACUCCUUGGGAAGCUCUGAUGACCGGACAGAUGAGCAGAAGCCGAAAGCUCAGGGAGAAAGAUCUACUUUUCCACGAACCGCUUUUCACGAGCGUCCCUAGGAGCCUGCGAACUCUGUGAGGGCAGGACUUAAGGUGCUUUGGGUUCCCUUCCAAAGGGGAGCAUGCCCACCCCUGCCCAACCGGUCCACCUGGCUGGAGCCCCAUGAGAAGCUGCCUGCUGGGGGUGUUGCAGUGUCAGAGGUCAGGUUGCACCCCCACCUCCCCGUGCCCCAACAUCCAGCACCCCGGUUCUGGAACACGUGUGUGGACUCAGAUGCACUGAGGCUGAAUUUGCAGGAACAGAGUUUGGAGCUGGCUAGCAGGGACCAUCUGAGUCCGAAGGUUUUGGGACCCGCCCUCCUGCCUGUCCUCCAGAGCAGCCCGAAGCUGAACUGCUUCCUGCAUCUCUGCAGAGCAGGGAGGUACAGACGAUGCUGGCAGCUCUCCUUCUCCUCUCAUGCCCCUGGACAUCCUCUGUGGUCACCUGCAGGUCUCCUCCAGCCAGCCGGCUGGCUCGCGGUAAGAACCGCCAGAGCACUUGCGAACGUCCAGGCAGUGGCCUCGCCUUGCCAGGGGACUUCAGAUGCCAGCCUCCAGUACCAGGAGGGAGAAAUGCCUCUUGUUGAAGCCGCCCCGUCUGGGGUAUCUGCUUUUGGCAGCUGAGCGGACUCAUACUGGUCUAGACUCACAGUCUGUAACCUCUGGGAGGAGGUCCAGGAAUGGAACCAUCCGAGAUGGACUCUCUAAUAUUUUCUGGGAGGAAUCAAGGGACUCCAAUGCUGGAAGCAAGGCCCCUGGAGGACCUCAGGGUGGUGCUGACAGCCCUUUGUGACUCAGGGACUCACCGGUGUCCGCCCAGGCAGUUCCCCUUUCCGUCGGCCUCAGGGAACUGCUCAGGAGAUCUUCUCAUGAGAGGAAUCCCGACUGCUCCACAGACAGGUGCCAGCGUUCAGACCCUGAGGCUGCCUCUGGCUCCGCAAGUGUGGAUGUGCCCAGGCAGGUCUCAGGACGGAGCCUCGAGAAGCAGGAAAGGCCGUGUGGAUGGAGCCCCUGGGGACGGAGAGGAGGAGGAAGGUGAGUGUCCAUUUGAGCAGCUCCCGUCUCUCUCCAUAC